GCCAGGGCCGGAGGGCGGCCUUCCGGACGAGGGAGCAGUACCCGGAGCGCGACAAGACUGACUCACG
This 67-nucleotide non-coding RNA is filed under the name Cnuibacter physcomitrellae. Lineage: Bacteria; Bacillati; Actinomycetota; Actinomycetes; Micrococcales; Microbacteriaceae. The record is from RNAcentral.